UUUUGUUCUUUCCAUGUGUGGAACUGAAUGUUUAUCUCCUACUGAAAUUUUAUGUACACAAGGUCAGAAGAAGCUCCAUAAACCUGAGAGCAAAGUAGCACCUUAAAUUCCAGACAGUGUCUUUCAACAUAGUCCUUACAGGCCUGGAACUCAGAGAUCCACCUGCUUCUUUCUGCCUGAAGGCUGGGACUAAGGACUUGGGCUACCAUAUCCAUAACUGCUUGUUGAUCAUGUGUGUUCACAGGCCUGUGGAGAUGUAACCCAGGCUUU
Molecule: long non-coding RNA, 270 nt
Organism: Peromyscus eremicus (cactus mouse)
Lineage: Eukaryota; Metazoa; Chordata; Mammalia; Rodentia; Cricetidae
Exons: 3
Source: RefSeq, a predicted model, not a curated record